UGAAGAUCAAGUGUCAAGGCUUUUGUAUCUUCUGCCUGAUGGAACAGGGGACAGAAGAGAAUGUCCAGGAUGGCGGGGGAGCAGUGUGAUCUCGGUUGUAGCUAGAACCAGGCCUCAAACUUGCCUGUCCAGAAGAAGGGACGUUGGAGGUGGUGUAGGACAGUGUCAAUGCUGGGUUGGGUGCUGGCCCCUCCUAUCAGUGCUGCCCUCCAGUGUUCAAAUUGUGGAAUGGCAAGCUGGAUUGUGUGAGUGCAUAUGAUCAUCUACCUACUGCUGAGAACUGCUUGUUCUUGCCAAUAAUGCCCAUGCACCAUCAAUUUACAGGACAAGUCACUUAGAGUCUUGGGCUAUAAUAUAAUUGACUUUUUUUUACUGCUAUUUUAUACAUCCUAUACAGUAUAUGCCUUGUGCUGUGUGUGACAGUAGGUACUGU
Long non-coding RNA from Hypanus sabinus (Atlantic stingray), 433 nucleotides. RefSeq lists it as uncharacterized. NCBI's taxonomy places the organism in Eukaryota, Metazoa, Chordata, Chondrichthyes, Myliobatiformes, Dasyatidae. The record is from RefSeq and is a predicted model, not a curated record. The transcript is spliced from 3 exons.